This 2634-nucleotide ribosomal RNA is filed under the name Triticum aestivum (bread wheat). Its description in RNAcentral is "partial small subunit ribosomal RNA". Lineage: Eukaryota; Viridiplantae; Streptophyta; Magnoliopsida; Poales; Poaceae. The record is from RNAcentral.
CAGUCUCUAUUGUACCGGCUAUCAGACCUGUUUGCGUAAAGAAGGAGUAUAUACCACACUAAGCAGCCUUGGACCUGACAAGUCUACCAACUUAAAACCCCUCGGACGAUCGGUGGGCAAAUUACAUACUUGUAUGUGUUACUCGCUAUUUACUCUAAGUUGGAACUUCUGCUGGAAUUGGUGACCAAACUAAGUAAACAUACGUGACAUCGGGCAUCGUUGCGUGCCCGUAAGAUGAUCAUAUACUUAUCCACCCGUGUGCGGGUCUUCUCGUUUUGUAUGUGCUGUAGUGCGGAUCGUUAGUUGUGCGCGGAAGUGUGCAGUGUAGUGCGCGUGUUGUCUAACUUCCGUCUAGCUGUGUUCGGUUACUGUUGGUCAACGUAGCCGUUCCAGCUGCGGAGGGGUCCUGCGGGUCGUGUAGUUUCCGGGCUUCUUCUUUGUUGUUUUUGUAGUAGUUUAAACCCAUUGUUGUAUAGGUGUGUACAGCUCCUGCUAGUCAACGUGGCCGUUCUAGCCGUCCUGUGGGCCGCAUAGGUUCCCUUACCGUUCUGCUGGCUGUGUAGCUUCCGGACAUCUUCCUUGUUAUCUUUGUAGUAGAUGAUACCCAUCAUAUAUAUUGACGAACUACAGACGAGUUUAGAAGGGUAGUGUCGAAAGAAGCGUUGAAGGAAUGUUUGUGGGAUAAAAGUACAAGUAACAAAUCAAUCUUGUAAAAAAUUUGGUUUUAAAAUAACCACGUAAUAGUCUACUUAGUGAGAAAAAAUAUUAACAAAACUUCCGUUGUUGGAUACCGCAUGUUCUUCAACUCACUCGAUUGGUGUUCUCCUGUGUGUAACUUAUUAUUUCGGUUUCAUUACUCUUACACCCUAAGUUAGUUGGGAAGUGGACUACUUGAAUAUUCGUAACUAUACUAGAUCUACCUACUCGUCCAUAAAAGAAGUGUAAUAUUGUUACCAUAAAGAAGAUGAUAGUUUUAAUAAAGAUUCUAAUAGAAGUAAGUCAAAACUUCCCACUAUGUUAAGUACGAUGAUAGAUCUUCUUAGAUUACCUUUGAAUAUCUAGCUUCUAGUUGCUCCCAAGGUAUAUACGAAAAUCGUUAAAAUUUCAACAUCUAGGCUGUUUUAUAGCGGGUCAGUUGCUUCUUUGAUUUUUGUUAAGAUAUGUUUUGUCUGGAUUGCUUCUACUUUCCAAGGAGCCUAUUAAAAGGUCUAAUCAUGAAGCUCAAACGAUCGUUUCUAUGGGAUGUUCUUGUCGAUCUUUUUAUGGUUGUUACGAGUCCAUACAACCAUCAGUAUAAAGAAUGAAGGUUCACCAAUAAAAAUUAAACUUCAGUAUACAACCAUCAACACGAUUAUAUGAGGGUUACUAAUUGAAAGAUUAAAACUUCAGUAAUUAGAAUUUUAAACGUCUACAGUAACCCAAGAAUGGUUCUAAUUUGGUUAUCUUAGUUCCUACUGUUGUUGUUUUGUUGUUGAAAUCUAUAUGCACUCUAGCCUUAAGAAUACGCUCUUAUUCACAUAUAGAUACGCAGUUGAAAAGUAAUUAUUCCAACAAAAGAAAUAAACUACUUCUCCGACUUUCAAAGUUAUAUAGUCAGAGUAAGGACAACUGAAAGAAUCUGCCUUCUAGACUUCUUCAGCGUUUCUAAUAUACACUUAAUACACCUGUUUCUGAAUAGAAAGCCAAGUUUGAGUUGUUAUUCUUGAAGUGAGAUCCAUAUGUUUUGAUAUGUCAUUUUUUUGUAAACACGGAGUACUCUCCGAACUUUUCGCUAUGAAUCUGCUAUUUCGACUUCUCCACUACCAACUAAUUUAGUAAUUUAAAUAAUAAACAUGUGGUUAAUAAUAUGGGAAAAAUAUACUUUGUUACCUUCGUCUAUAAAUACAAGAAAUAGGUAACACGAGUUGUCCUAAACUACCUACUACUCCGCCUGUACAAUUUUGUUCUUAGUUUAUUUGUCUUACUCGGUCAAUUUUUCGUUUACACUCGAAUGGUUCUUGUGUACGCUCAACCAGGGACGCUUUAUCCUAGGUCUUCUAUUUUGCCCUCAUGUCUUGGAGUCUUCCUCGUAGUUGUAUUUUUAUGUAGUUGUUCACAGCCAUCGUCUUUUUAUUCCGCCUUUAGAUAACAUAAUAGUCUGAACCUUCUACUUCUUUUACUUUUGUUAUUUAGACCUUUUAUUCUUUUUCUCACGGGUUUUUAUGGACUUCACAAUCACGUUUUCGGUUUGGAACUUGUACCUCCGAGUCACAACCGAUGCGGUUUCUAUUUUCAUGACAAGUACGUCGGUGUUCCUACUGUACUUCAAUUUCAGACCCUUAUACCUCUCAAACUCUGAUUUGCAUAACUACAUUUUAAACUCCUGUGUUCAUCAGUUAACGUUCUAGUUCAUACGGUUUGUUCUCGGUACACUCUCCUUCCUGUAAAAGUUUUUUAACAAGCUCAGUCAUCAAAUGGGCGUCUUCGGCCUCAUAUACGAAUUAUCAAUCGUACAAAAGUAUAUACUAGAUGUAUACAUACUUAUUAUACUGUCAAACAAAAAACUUGUUAAGAUAACAUGUGAUAAGUCUUCUUCUUACUCGCCGCGUAAGUAAACCAGAAUUAGUUAAAUUUACCAUUCAUUGCAAGUCUUCU